Molecule: long non-coding RNA, 1199 nt
Organism: Populus euphratica (Euphrates poplar)
Lineage: Eukaryota; Viridiplantae; Streptophyta; Magnoliopsida; Malpighiales; Salicaceae
Exons: 4
Source: RefSeq, a predicted model, not a curated record
CAUCUUGAAAUCCCAACAAAUUUUCAAAAGCAGCGCCUCAUCCCGCCAGUGAACAUCUAAUUCAAAACACCGAAUUCCCAAAUCGCCCACAAAAAGAGAAGAACAAAGAAAGAGAUAGAAAAAUGGAGAAGAUACGUGUAGCAGUUAGAGCGAGACCAGCUGUCUCUGUAUCUGAAGGCACCACCAUUAACGGAACCUGCUGGAUAGUGGAAGAAAAUUGCAUCUCUCUUCACAACUCUCAUGGCACUCCUAUCUCCGGCAUCUCUCAUGCCUUUAUAUUCCUCUCUAUUUCCUUGUUCAUUUCUGUAUUUUAUUCACUCGAUUCUUUUUGGUAGAUCACGUGUUUGAUGAGAGUUGCACAAAUUCUACAGUGUACGAGCUCCUUACCAAGGAUCUUAUUCAUGCUGCGGUUGACGGUUUCAACGGUAUUGUGAUCCACUAGAGAGGUUACGCUGUUUCAAGUGCAGUUAAUUGGCACUUUGGAGCGACAAACAUGAAUGCUCGCAGCAGUAGAUCUCACACGAUAUUUAGAAUGGUAGUCGUUGACGUGAAGCUAUACAGACACGAUUUCUUCGAUGGAAUUUACUUUUGUUCCAAGGCAAUGCAUGUCAAAUGUCAGGUGAUUGAAAGUAAGGGGAAGGAUGCAAAUUCUAGCUAUUCUAAUAUAUUCCUUCCCCGUGAUCUUCUUGUAGAUUUUAUCAGAUGCAGCCUCGCUGAAGCGGCAGAAAUUAGAGAUAGAGGAGCAGCGUAAGAAACUUCAGGGAUCCCGGGCUGAAGUACUGGAGCAAGAAAUUUUAAAAUUGAGAAAUGAUAUGCUGAAAGUAUGAAUUAGAGAGAGAAAAGCUUGAGAUUGAGCUGGAAGAGGAGAGGGAAUCACACAAGGAACGUGAUCAAUGUAUCAAAGAGGAGCAGAUGAAAAUUGACAAUCUCUAUACCCGCGCCACCUCUUCAGAUCGAUGGUGUAAGAGCUCUAGCCAGAAUGCUGGGAAACAGAGCCUCGAGGAAUUCAGCGACAGCAAUAUUGUUUUCCAAGAAGAUGUUUUUGGAACCCCUACAUUGAUUCAAUCCAAAUGACUCCUGCAAGGGAAGUUCAAUCCUUUCCUUAUAGUGAUGUGACACCAGUGAGUUUAUGUUAAAUUAUUCAUGUACUCAAUCUUGUUGUCUGUAACUGCUACUUGUCUCUUUCCUAUGUGUUAAAC